GUCUGUAUGAAGUUAAAUGGAGUCUGUUCUGCCCAUUGAGAAUGAAAAUGUCUUAAAAGGCCGCGGUAUACUAACUGUGCAAAGGUAGCAUAAUCAGUAGUUUUUUAAUUGAAGGCUUGUAUGAAUGAUUGGACAAGGAUAAAACUGUCUUUUUUCAAAAAGUUGAAUUUUAUUUUUAAGUGAAAAAGCUUAAAUAAGUCAGAGGGACGAUAAGACCCUAUAAAUCUUCAUGUUGAGUUUUCUAUAAACAAAAAUAUUAAAAGUGAAGAAAGGCUAUAGAAUAAAACAUUUGGCUGGGGUGGCAAUGAUAUAGAAAGAACUAUAAAUACAAAGAAAACAAAUAUAUUUGAAAUUAAAAGAUCCUAGAUAUAGAUUAAGAGAAUAAGUUACUUUAGGGAUAACAGCAUAAUUUCUUUGGAGAGUCCAAAUCGAAAAAGAAGUUUGUGACCUCGAUGUUGAAUUAAAAGAUCUCUGAGGUGCAGAAGUUCAGGGGAGAGUCUGUUCGACUUUUAAAAUUUUACAUGAUUUGA
This 530-nucleotide ribosomal RNA is filed under the name Megalobrachium peruvianum. RNAcentral describes it as "partial large subunit ribosomal RNA". It matches the Rfam family "Bacterial large subunit ribosomal RNA", at positions 1831 to 2608 of the family's 2925-position model. The record is from RNAcentral. Lineage: Eukaryota; Metazoa; Arthropoda; Malacostraca; Decapoda; Porcellanidae.